AUUGAACGCUGGCGGCAUGCUUUACACAUGCAAGUCGAACGGUAACAGGCCGCAAGGUGCUGACGAGUGGCGAACGGGUGAGUAAUGCAUCGGAACGUGCCCAGUCGUGGGGGAUAACGCAGCGAAAGCUGUGCUAAUACCGCAUACGAUCUAUGGAUGAAAGCGGGGGACCGUAAGGCCUCGCGCGAUUGGAGCGGCCGAUGUCAGAUUAGGUAGUCGGUGGGGUAAAGGCUCACCAAGCCGACGAUCUGUAGCUGGUCUGAGAGGACGACCAGCCACACUGGGACUGAGACACGGCCCAGACUCCUACGGGAGGCAGCAGUGGGGAAUUUUGGACAAUGGGCGCAAGCCUGAUCCAGCCAUGCCGCGUGCAGGAUGAAGGCCUUCGGGUUGUAAACUGCUUUUGUACGGAACGAAAAGGUUUGGCCUAAUAAGCUGAGCUCAUGACAGUACCGUAAGAAUAAGCACCGGCUAACUACGUGCCAGCCGCCGCCGUAA
RNAcentral lists this ribosomal RNA (498 nucleotides) under uncultured bacterium. Its description in RNAcentral is "partial 16S ribosomal RNA". It matches the Rfam family "Bacterial small subunit ribosomal RNA", at positions 30 to 523 of the family's 1533-position model. The record is from RNAcentral.